GCAAAGCACAGAUCCUUUGCCUCAGGCUCUCGCAGCUUGUCAGGACACCAGUUACCCGCCGGCAGGGACAUUCCUACAGUCAACUGUCACGAGGCCUGUGCAGCAGAAACCUUUGAAAGAAGGGAUCCUCCCUGCACCCCGGGGACCUCCUGGAGUCCUGGCUUUUCCAGCGCCACUUGGAUAAACAUUUCUCUUCCAUGAUUUGUGCCCAGUUGCGGCGUGUGUCUGGGAAGUGAGCAGGAGUAGAAACAGAUGGAUCUUCCACGAGCUCAAAGGCAAGAAGAUUGACUUCUAUGCAGUAGUCCUCUGGAUAAAGUUUAGUAAACAUAUAAUCACACCAUCAUCUGGGGCUCUGUAUACCCUAAUAAAUGAGUGCUUCUAAUUUUAUAAGCACUGUCAUUA
Pongo pygmaeus (Bornean orangutan) is the source of this 402-nucleotide long non-coding RNA. RefSeq lists it as uncharacterized. NCBI's taxonomy places the organism in Eukaryota, Metazoa, Chordata, Mammalia, Primates, Hominidae. The record is from RefSeq and is a predicted model, not a curated record. The transcript is spliced from 2 exons.